AUUGAACGCUGGCGGCAUGCCUUACACAUGCAAGUCGAACAGCAGCACGGGAGCAAUCCUGGUGGCGAGUGGCGAACGGGUGAGUAAUGUAUCGGAACGUGCCCAGUCGUGGGGGAUAACGUAGCGAAAGCUACGCUAAUACCGCAUACGAUCUAUGGAUGAAAGCGGGGGACCGCAAGACCUCGCGCGGUUGGAGCGGCCGAUAUCAGAUUAGGUAGUUGGUGGGGUAAAGGCCCACCAAGCCUGCGAUCUGUAGCUGGUCUGAGAGGACGACCAGCCACACUGGAACUGAGACACGGUCCAGACUCCUACGGGAGGCAGCAGUGGGGAAUUUUGGACAAUGGGCGCAAGCCUGAUCCAGCAAUGCCGCGUGCAGGAUGAAGGCCUUCGGGUUGUAAACUGCUUUUGUACGGAACGAAACGGCUUUUUCUAAUACAGAGAGCUAAUGACGGUACCGUAAGAAUAAGCACCGGCUUACUACGUGCCAGCCGCCGCUGUAA
Molecule: ribosomal RNA, 500 nt
Filed under: uncultured bacterium
Lineage: Bacteria
Description: partial 16S ribosomal RNA
Rfam family: Bacterial small subunit ribosomal RNA
Source: RNAcentral